UACGUAGGGUGCAAGCGUUGUUCGGAAUCAUUGGGCGUAAAGAGCGUGUAGGCGGCUUGCCAAGUCGAUUGUGAAAGCCCUCGGCUCAACCGGGGAAGUGCAGUCGAAACUGGUAAGCUAGAGAACGGUAGAGGAAGGUGGAAUUCCAAGUGUAGAGGUGAAAUUCGUAGAUAUUUGGAGGAAUACCUGUGGCGAAGGCGGCCUUCUGGGCCGUUUCUGACGCUGAGACGCGAAAGCGUGGGUAGCAAACAGG
Molecule: ribosomal RNA, 253 nt
Filed under: uncultured bacterium
Lineage: Bacteria
Description: partial 16S ribosomal RNA
Rfam family: Bacterial small subunit ribosomal RNA
Source: RNAcentral